UAGUGUGUAAGGAGUAAGAGUGACUUGAAAAGGUCCCUGAAGUCGAAACAUGGCAAGACGUUCUGGACCUUUUCUUUU
This is a small RNA of Candidatus Atelocyanobacterium thalassa isolate ALOHA, 78 nucleotides long. It matches the Rfam family "Cyano-1 RNA". Lineage: Bacteria; Bacillati; Cyanobacteriota; Cyanophyceae; Chroococcales; Aphanothecaceae. The record is from Rfam.